This 464-nucleotide ribosomal RNA is filed under the name uncultured bacterium. RNAcentral's name for it is "partial 16S ribosomal RNA". It matches the Rfam family "Bacterial small subunit ribosomal RNA", at positions 339 to 795 of the family's 1533-position model. The record is from RNAcentral.
CUACGGGAGGCUGCAGUGGGGAAUAUUGCACAAUGGGCGCAAGCCUGAUGCAGCCAUGCCGCGUGUAUGAAGAAGGCCUUCGGGUUGUAAAGUACUUUCAUCGGGGAGGAAGGGAGUAAAGUUAAUACCUUUGCUCAUUGACGUUACCCGCAGAAGAAGCACCGGCUAACUCCGUGCCAGCAGCCGCGGUAAUACGGAGGGUGCAAGCGUUAAUCGGAAUUACUGGGCGUAAAGCGCACGCAGGCGGUUUGUUAAGUCAGAUGUGAAAUCCCCGGGCUCAACCUGGGAACUGCAUCUGAUACUGGCAAGCUAGAGUCUCGUAGAGGGGGGUAGAAUUCCAGGUGUAGCGGUGAAAUGCGUAGAGAUCUGGAGGAAUACCGGUGGCGAAGGCGGCCCCCUGGACGAAGACUGACGCUCAGGUGCGAAAGCGUGGGGAGCAAACAGGAUUAGAUACCCCGGUAGUC